UCUUGGAUUGGGCCGAUGAUCAUCAUGGGAUCACACUUCCCAACCUGAGGUUUUUCCAGAUCAUCUCUGAGAGAGUCUAUUCUCAAAUGGCUAAUCUGGGGGGCUAUUUGAGCUCGCCUACGACUUCUGCAUUCAAUGGUCUGGCAGUCAACAAAAUGCUUGCUCCCAGCUAUGAAUGAACAAAUAUAUGAUGGAAAUUGCAUUAUCUUUUGCGUGGAGGAACCUGAUGGCAGGGGUUGGGGAUGGCAGCGAUAGAGAACUUCAAUACUUUCCGGCUGCAAACUGGUAUUAUAAGACAAUCUUGUAAUACCUAUAUAAA
Long non-coding RNA from Dioscorea cayenensis subsp. rotundata (Guinea yam), 319 nucleotides. RefSeq lists it as uncharacterized. The transcript is spliced from 3 exons. NCBI's taxonomy places the organism in Eukaryota, Viridiplantae, Streptophyta, Magnoliopsida, Dioscoreales, Dioscoreaceae. The record is from RefSeq and is a predicted model, not a curated record.